RNAcentral lists this ribosomal RNA (324 nucleotides) under uncultured eukaryote. Its description in RNAcentral is "partial 18S ribosomal RNA". It matches the Rfam family "Eukaryotic small subunit ribosomal RNA", at positions 1470 to 1796 of the family's 1831-position model. The record is from RNAcentral.
CCCUUAGAUGUCCUGGGCUGCACGCGCGCUACACUGAUGUGUCCAGUAAGCACCUAACCUCUUCCGAAAGGAACGGGUAACCUUUGCAAAGCACAUCGUGAUGGGGAUAGAUUAUUGCAAUUAUUAGUCUUGAACGAGGAAUUCCUAGUAAGCACAAGUCAUCAGCUUGUGUUGAUUGCGUCCCUGCCCUUUGUACACACCGCCCGUCGCUCCUACCGAUUGAAUGUUCCGGUGAGCUCUUCGGACUGCGCGGUCUGCAGUUUCUGCGUUCCGUGCGGAAAGUUGCGCAAACCUUAACAUUUAGAGGAAGGAGAAGUCGUAACA